GAUGAACGCUGGCGGCGUGCCUAAUACAUGCCAGUCGAGCGAACAGACGAGGAGCUUGCUCCUCUGACGUUAGCGGCGGACGGGUGAGUAACACGUGGAUAACCUACCUAUAAGACUGGGAUAACUUCGGGAAACCGGAGCUAAUACCGGAUAAUAUAUUGAGCCGCAUGGUUCAAUAGUGAAAGACGGUUUUGCUGUCACUUAUAGAUGGAUCCGCGCCGCAUUAGCUAGUUGGUAAGGUAACGGCUUACCAAGGCAACGAUGCGUAGCCGACCUGAGAGGGUGAUUGGCCACACUGGAACUGAGACACGGUCCAGACUCCUACGGGAGGCAGCAGUAGGGAAUCUUCCGCAAUGGGCGAAAGCCUGACGGAGCAACGCCGCGUGAGUGAUGAAGGUCUUCGGAUCGUAAAACUCUGUUAUUAGGGAAGAACAAAUGUGUAAGUAACUAUGCACGUCUUGACGGUACCUAAUCAGAAAGCCACGGCUAACUACGUG
RNAcentral lists this ribosomal RNA (497 nucleotides) under uncultured bacterium. RNAcentral describes it as "partial 16S ribosomal RNA". It matches the Rfam family "Bacterial small subunit ribosomal RNA", at positions 28 to 507 of the family's 1533-position model. The record is from RNAcentral.